ACGAUGUUCCGCUGCAAAGGCUAAUGUGUAAGAGCAUCCG
RNAcentral lists this small RNA (40 nucleotides) under Bacillus sp. CECT 9360. Its description in RNAcentral is "L19_leader". It matches the Rfam family "Ribosomal protein L19 leader". Rfam says of the family: This family is a putative r-protein leader autoregulatory structure found in B. subtilis and other low-GC Gram-positive bacteria. It is located in the 5' untranslated regions of mRNAs encoding ribosomal protein L19 (rplS). The record is from RNAcentral. Lineage: Bacteria; Bacillati; Bacillota; Bacilli; Caryophanales; Bacillaceae.